This 253-nucleotide ribosomal RNA is filed under the name uncultured bacterium. RNAcentral describes it as "partial 16S ribosomal RNA". It matches the Rfam family "Bacterial small subunit ribosomal RNA", at positions 524 to 776 of the family's 1533-position model. The record is from RNAcentral.
UACGAAGGGGGCUAGCGUUGCUCGGAAUCACUGGGCGUAAAGCGCACGUAGGCGGAUCUUUAAGUCAGGGGUGAAAUCCUGGAGCUCAACUCCAGAACUGCCUUUGAUACUGGGGAUCUCGAGUCCGGAAGAGGUGAGUGGAACUCCGAGUGUAGAGGUGAAAUUCGUAGAUAUUCGGAAGAACACCAGUGGCGAAGGCGGCUCACUGGUCCGGUAUUGACGCUGAAGAGCGAAAGCGUGGGGAGCAAACAGG